CCCGCUGAACUUAAGCAUAUCAAUAAGCGGAGGAACGAUUUUUCCA
RNAcentral lists this ribosomal RNA (46 nucleotides) under Sporothrix sp. AMC_SG_005. RNAcentral describes it as "partial 28S ribosomal RNA". The record is from RNAcentral. Lineage: Eukaryota; Fungi; Ascomycota; Sordariomycetes; Ophiostomatales; Ophiostomataceae.